CAGCAGCCGCGGGAAUACAGAGGGUGCGAGCGUUAAUCGGAUUUACUGGGCGUAAAGCGUGCGUAGGCGGCUAAUUGAGUCGGAUGUGAAAUCCCCGAGCUUAACUUGGGAAUUGCAUUCGAUACUGGUUAGCUAGAGUGUGGGAGAGGAUGGUAGAAUUCCAGGUGUAGCGGUGAAAUGCGUAGAGAUCUGGAGGAAUACCGAUGGCGAAGGCAGCCAUCUGGCCUAACACUGACGCUGAGGUACGAAAGCAUGGGGAGCAAACAGGAUUAGAUACCCGCGUAGUCCCUGUCUCUUAUAA
RNAcentral lists this ribosomal RNA (301 nucleotides) under uncultured bacterium. RNAcentral describes it as "partial 16S ribosomal RNA". It matches the Rfam family "Bacterial small subunit ribosomal RNA", at positions 509 to 809 of the family's 1533-position model. The record is from RNAcentral.